RNAcentral lists this Y RNA (140 nucleotides) under Rubritalea squalenifaciens DSM 18772. RNAcentral's name for it is "Y RNA-like". It matches the Rfam family "Y RNA-like". From Rfam's summary of the family: In Deinococcus radiodurans Rsr is tethered via Y RNA to the exoribonuclease PNPase and channels single-stranded RNA into the PNPase cavity. Rsr and Y RNA enhance degradation of structured RNAs by PNPase. Lineage: Bacteria; Pseudomonadati; Verrucomicrobiota; Verrucomicrobiia; Verrucomicrobiales; Rubritaleaceae. The record is from Rfam by way of RNAcentral.
ACAUCGAAUGCCUGUGGAACUACAUCCCUUCUGGAGGACGAGGUCGUGGGUUCGAAUCCCACCCGGGCUCGCCAAUAAUAUGGCCCGGUAGCUCAGUUCGGUAGAGCGCGUAAACGUUUCACAUCUUUUGUCGAUGUAUC